GUUUGAACAUUCGGAUACCAUCAGCAAUCUCGUCCUUCAAUCCUCCCAUGAAUGUUCCCACAAGUGCUUUUUGAGUCCAUCCACGAACUCGGUUGCCUAACCUCUCAAACUCACGUUGAUAGUCCCUUAGAGAGCCGACUUGUCUGACCCGAGAAAGAGCCUCGUCAAAAUCUUCACACUCUGAUGGUCCAAAACGUGCCCAUAGCUC
Molecule: long non-coding RNA, 208 nt
Filed under: Olea europaea (common olive)
Lineage: Eukaryota; Viridiplantae; Streptophyta; Magnoliopsida; Lamiales; Oleaceae
Description: long non-coding RNA (OEUR_LNC001183)
Source: RNAcentral